ACUAAAUCUCCCGGCUGGCCUGGGAACGCCCCGGGACCCUCCGGGAGGAACUGGACAAAGUGCCUGGGGAGGGGGAAGUCUGGGCUUCCCUGCUUAGGCUGCUGCCUACGCGACCCGACCUUGGAUAAGCAGAAGAUGGAUGGAUGGAUGGAUGGAUGGAUUGUUAUUCUGAAGCUAAUCAAUAAUAAAUAAAAUACUUCUUACCAUUAAUGCGACUUCUUGAACAGGUGGGACUGUGGGGUAGAAAACAGAUGGAUGGAUUAAAAUGCAUGAGUGUUUUAUAUUUUGGACGUUAUUUUUAACACUGUGAUUACCAGCGGAAUUAUUCAUUACUUCUCGUGUUCAGCAAUGUUAGCUAAGGUUUAUCUGGGAUCUGAACUGAGGAUGUUGUUGAAGCUUGUGCAGCCCUUUGAGACACUUGGAAUUUAGGGCUAUAUAAAUAAACAUUGAUUGAUUGAUUGAUUGAUUAUCUGAGAGCCAGAUGCAGUCCGUGGGAGCCAGGGCGUGGUCAGGCGCCGCCUGUGGACGAGGCAUGCACAAGAGCCGGCUGGAAGCAGAUGGUAGCAGCGUUGGUGACCGCAGGGCUGGGCUGAAAAGCCAGAAGAGGCUGCACGAGGGGCUGACGGAGGAGAAAGAAUUUACGGACAAAGAGAAGAAAUAUUGUGAGUGAGCAAAAUAAGACUGAAAAGACUUUGUGAACGAACAAAAAGAAGAAAUGUUGUGAAAAGAACAAAAUAAAAAGAAAAGACAUUUGUGAACCAGCAAUAGAAGAAAUAUUGUGUGAGAAGACAUUAAAAGAAUUGGCAAACUUGA
Molecule: long non-coding RNA, 813 nt
Organism: Nerophis ophidion (straightnose pipefish)
Lineage: Eukaryota; Metazoa; Chordata; Actinopteri; Syngnathiformes; Syngnathidae
Exons: 2
Source: RefSeq, a predicted model, not a curated record